This 409-nucleotide ribosomal RNA is filed under the name uncultured bacterium. RNAcentral's name for it is "bacterial SSU rRNA". It matches the Rfam family "Bacterial small subunit ribosomal RNA", at positions 509 to 916 of the family's 1533-position model. The record is from RNAcentral.
CAGCAGCCGCGGUAAUACGGGGGAGGCAAGCGUUAUCCGGAAUUAUUGGGCGUAAAGCGUCCGCAGGUGGUCAGCCAAGUCUGCCGUCAAAUCAGGUUGCUUAACGACCUAAAGGCGGUGGAAACUGGCAGACUAGAGAGCAGUAGGGGUAGCAGGAAUUCCCAGUGUAGCGGUGAAAUGCGUAGAGAUUGGGAAGAACAUCGGUGGCGAAAGCGUGCUACUGGGCUGUAUCUGACACUCAGGGACGAAAGCUAGGGGAGCGAAAGGGAUUAGAUACCCCUGUAGUCCUAGCCGUAAACGAUGGAUACUAGGCGUGGCUUGUAUCGACCCGAGCCGUGCCGAAGCUAACGCGUUAAGUAUCCCGCCUGGGGAGUACGCACGCAAGUGUGAAACUCAAAGGAAUUGACGG